AACGAACGCUGGCGGCAUGCCUAACACAUGCAAGUCGAACGAGACCUUCGGGUCUAGUGGCGCACGGGUGCGUAACGCGUGGGAAUCUGCCCUUGGGUUCGGAAUAACAGUUAGAAAUGACUGCUAAUACCGGAUAAUGUCUUCGGACCAAAGAUUUAUCGCCCAGGGAUGAGCCCGCGUAGGAUUAGCUAGUUGGUGAGGUAAAGGCUCACCAAGGCGACGAUCCUUAGCUGGUCUGAGAGGAUGGUCAGCCACACUGGGACUGAGACACGGCCCAGACUCCUACGGGAGGCAGCAGUGGGGAAUAUUGGACAAUGGGCGAAAGCCUGAUCCAGCAAUGCCGCGUGAGUGAUGAAGGCCUUAGGGUUGUAAAGCUCUUUUACCCGGGGAUGAUAAUGACGGUACCGGGAGAAUAAGCUCCGGCUAACUCCGUGCCAGCAGCCGCGGUAAU
Molecule: ribosomal RNA, 451 nt
Filed under: uncultured bacterium
Lineage: Bacteria
Description: bacterial SSU rRNA
Rfam family: Bacterial small subunit ribosomal RNA
Source: RNAcentral